GAUGAAGAACGUAGCGAAAUGCGAUAAGUAGUGUGAAUUGCAGAAUUCAGUGAAUCAUCGAAUCUUUGAACGCACAUUGCGCCCCUUGGUACUCCAUGGGGCAUGCCUGUUCGAGCGUCAUUUACACCCUCAAGCUCAGCUUGGUGUUGGGCGUCUGUCCCGCUUCGUGCGCGGACUCGCCUCAAAUGCAUUGGCAGCGGUCUUGCCAGCUUCUCGCGCAGCACAUUGCGCUUCUAGAGGCUUUGGCGGAUCGGCGUCCAUCAAGUACACCCACAGUUUGACCUCGGAUCAGGUAGGGAUACCCGCUGAACUUAAGCAUAUCAAUAAGUGGAGUA
This 335-nucleotide unclassified non-coding RNA is filed under the name soil metagenome. Its description in RNAcentral is "partial contains 5.8S ribosomal RNA, internal transcribed spacer 2, and large subunit ribosomal RNA". The stretch from base 1 to 120 matches the Rfam family "5.8S ribosomal RNA", at positions 35 to 154 of the family's 154-position model. The record is from RNAcentral.